GACGAACGCUGGCGGCGUGCUUAACACAUGCAAGUCGAACGGAAAGGCCCUGCUUUUGUGGGGUGCUCGAGUGGCGAACGGGUGAGUAACACGUGAGUAACCUGCCCUUGACUUUGGGAUAACUUCAGGAAACUGGGGCUAAUACCGGAUAGGAGCUCCUGCGGCAUGGUGGGGGUUGGAAAGUUUCGGCGGUUGGGGAUGGACUCGCGGCUUAUCAGCCUGUUGGUGGGGUAGUGGCUUACCAAGGCUUUGACGGGUAGCCGGCCUGAGAGGGUGACCGGCCACAUUGGGACUGAGAUGCGGCCCAGACUCCUACGGGAGGCAGCAGUGGGGAAUAUUGCACAAUGGGCGGAAGCCUGAUGCAGCAACGCCGCGUGCGGGAUGACGGCCUUCGGGUUGUAAACCGCUUUCGCCUGUGACGAAGCGUGAGUGACGGUAAUGGGUAAAGAAGCACCGGCUAACUACGUG
RNAcentral lists this ribosomal RNA (468 nucleotides) under uncultured bacterium. RNAcentral's name for it is "partial 16S ribosomal RNA". It matches the Rfam family "Bacterial small subunit ribosomal RNA", at positions 28 to 507 of the family's 1533-position model. The record is from RNAcentral.